ACACAAGAACGCGUGGAGCAUGUGGCUUAAUUUGACUCAACGCGGGAAAUCUUACCGGGUCCGGACACACUGAGGAUUGACAGGCAAUAUUAAUACUUUGCUUCGGCAUUGUAUUAUGUUAAAUAUGCUAGUCCUUUCAUGAUUAUGUGAUAGGUGGUGCAUGGCCGUUCUUAGUUCGUGGAGUGAUCUGUCUGCUUAAUUGCGUUUCACUAAGGGCCUAUAAAUUUACGUAUGUUGUAUCGCACUUUGACCCCUUUCUUUAAUUAGAAAGCGCGUGUCUUAGUUUCGCUUUGCUCAUACAAUUAGGUCCUGAAAGCAACGAACGUGACCGCAACCUCUUGUUGCCUUUAUACCAAACAUGUUUAUUCAUUUUUUAAUGUUCAUUCAUGAAAAAAGGCUUUUUAAACUAGAGGGACCGCUGUUACUUUCUUAAACCAGAGGAAGGUUGCGGCAAUAACAGGUCUGUGAUGCCCUUAGAUGUUCCGGGCUGCACACGUGCUACAAUGAUUAUUGCAGUGAGCAUCUCAUUUUUACACACCGCAUGCGCGAGUCCAUUUAUUCACCUUCGGGUGUUUUAAAUGUGUACCUCUGCGCGCGGUAAAGCCUGCUUCGAAAGUAAGUGGGUAAUCAAUUAGAAGUAAUGAUUUCCUUUUUUAGCACACAUAUAUACGGCGUCUAUGCCCGGGUUACCUUGUUGUAGCUUUUGUGUGUAUAGAUGUUUUUUCCGUAUGUGCGAUUGUCAAUUCAUAGGUGGGGACAGACCAUUGUUAAUUGUUGGUCUCGGUCUUAACUAGGAAUGCCUUGUACGGGUCUUUGGUUCAACAAACCACCCGGAAUACGUCCCUGCCCUUUGUACACACCGCCCGUCGCUCUUACCGAUGGACUUCUCUGUGAGUUUGAGGGACUGGGAACGCAGGAAUUUAUUUCUGCACACCUAUGGAAACUUAAACGAACAGUGUGGUCUAAAGGAAAGAGAAGUCGUAACAAAGGCAUA
RNAcentral lists this ribosomal RNA (994 nucleotides) under Cibicidoides wuellerstorfi. RNAcentral's name for it is "bacterial SSU rRNA". It matches the Rfam family "Eukaryotic small subunit ribosomal RNA", at positions 1166 to 1803 of the family's 1831-position model. The record is from RNAcentral. Lineage: Eukaryota; Foraminifera; Rotaliida; Anomalinidae.